Molecule: small nuclear RNA, 340 nt
Filed under: Neogale vison (American mink)
Lineage: Eukaryota; Metazoa; Chordata; Mammalia; Carnivora; Mustelidae
Description: Neovison vison (American mink) 7SK RNA (ENSNVIG00000020094.1)
Rfam family: 7SK RNA
About the family: 7SK was discovered as an abundant small nuclear RNA in the mid-70s but a possible function has only recently been suggested. Two independent studies have found that 7SK RNA binds the CDK9/cyclin T complex (known as elongation factor P-TEFb).
Source: Rfam by way of RNAcentral
GGAUGUGAGGGCGAUCUGGCUGCGACAUCUGUCACCCCAUUGAUCGCCAGGGUUGAUUCGGCUGAUCUGGCUGGCUAGGCGGGUGUCCCCUUCCUCCCUCACCCCUCCAUGUGCGUCCCUCCCGAAGCUGCGUGCUCGGUCAAAGAGGACGACCUUCCCCGAUAGAGGAGAGGACCGUUCUUCAGUCAAGGGUAUACGAGUAGCUGCGCUUCCCUGCUAGAACCUCCAAACAAGCUCUCAAGGUCCAUUUGUAGAACAUAGGGUAGUCAAGCUUCCAAGACUCAAAAAAAAAAAAAAAAAUUAAGGAAAAAUUGGAGCUUCUUGUCAAUACUGAUAUUUU